AUAGGAUCGCUCAGACAUCCAUCAAACCCCUAAGCUAGUGAGACAGCAGCAGGGAGGAUGGGACCCGGAAGAGAAGCUGCCGCUAGGGUGAGUUACUUCCCCGCCCCCCGGAGGAGAGAGGCAGCCUGGUUACACCAUGUUUCAGUUUCUGCUUGGUUUUGCUCUUGGCAAUGUGGUUGGGAUGUAUCUGGCGCAGAAUUAUGAUGUAAGUAUUAUUAUUUAUUAAAGUAGUAGUAGUAUUUUGCAGAAGUGGCCCUACCUGUUUUACUGGCCAGGGUGGAAAAUACUUUGACUGCCCCUUCCCCAAGCAGCUGAGCUCAAACAAAUAAACAAAAAAAAGCUGGCCA
RNAcentral lists this long non-coding RNA (347 nucleotides) under Gopherus agassizii (Agassiz's desert tortoise). RNAcentral describes it as "lncRNA (ENSGAGG00000005124.1)". The record is from RNAcentral. Lineage: Eukaryota; Metazoa; Chordata; Testudines; Testudinidae.